AUGAGAACUCACUAUCACAAGAACAGCAUGAGGGUAACUGCCCCCUUGAUCCCAUCACCUCCCACCAGGGCCCUCCCACGACACAUGGGGAUUAUGGAAACUACAAUUCAAGAUAAGAUUUGGGUGGGGACACCUCCCAACCAUAUCAGCCCCCUUCUCAGCUCCCAGAUACACAAAGCAAACAACCAAAACCACAGCAAUAAUUCUCCAUCAAGACAUUCAUCGUCUUUAUGUUGGCCUCUGCUGCCUGUGGAACCCUUCUUGCAUGAUGGCGCCUCCCCAAGACCAGCCUCACUAACCAAGCCCUACUCUCCAGAACUUUCUUUUCUCCCCUUCCCAAUAAAAAUGUUCUGUAUAAUUUCCCAUUCUCAAGAGACCUGCUUUCAACUACCUAUAUAUUCAAAAAAUCUGUCUGACACUGUUCCCUUUAGGAUAAUAAUAAUCAUGCACACUAGGUAGCACAUGUCAGGUUACAAUUUGGUGCAAAGAAAGAUGUGGAACUGCAACACCAAAGUCCCAGAUCCAGCCAUAAUCAUGUAACCUUGGGGAAGAUUUCGCUCUCAAAUAAAUCAUAAUUUGAUAAGGUGGAUAAGACAACAAAUACACAGUAGACUGGCAACUACCAAAGGAAGGUGCAAAGUGCUUCAGGAAUCAAGAACAGAAGAGCUCCCAUCCAGCUGGACAUGAGCUUCAGGAACAGUCUUUCAGAGGAAGCCACCCUGGUUUACAGUAAACUCACUCCUUGCUGGAGUCACACUUGAAACCAAGUAGCUAUACCCACAACCACUCCAUCCAGGGACAAGAACUGUGUUCAUGCAGACUCAUGCCAUGUUGUUUUCCCUCUCGGCUCUGCUCAGAGUGAAGUUUGUCAUGCAGCAAUGAGAAAUGAGAAAUGAGAAAAUGAGAAAAGAAAGAAAAUGAGAAAAGAAAAGAAAAGAAAAGAAAAGGAGAAAAGAAAAUGGCUUAAAGUCAUUCUGACAUAAGUAGCUGCAGACAAGAACUGUCAUCAUUGUCCCUGCAAACUCCUCUUGAAGAAGCAUUGCAAGAUGUGUGCAAGGGGUGUAUGCCUGUGUGUGAAUGAGGACAAGCAGGUGUGCAGCUCUUCUAUGAUUCUUGCCUCAAACUAACUAGAUAGCCUUCCUGCCUAUCAGUAAAUAAGGGCAUACUGAGCAUUUGCUGUGAGCCAGGCUCCAUGAUGAGGCUAUAAACGACGCACUCAGGAGCUUGGAGUCCAGAUGGUCAUAGAGCAUUAAACAAAUAAUGACAAGUGCCGACAUAAAGCAUAGUUACAAGUUUAAGACUAAAGCCUACACAGCUGCCAUACAGUGAUUCUACCUCUGUUCUAUGGUUCUAGGAUGUACUGCUGCAAGGAAAAGCAUUAUUACUCUUGUCCUUGUAUUGGGUUGUGUUGCAAAUGCCUGUCUCAGCUCCUUGAAGACAGUCCAGUGGCCUCAGCAUGGAGUCCUCACACAGUCCCUGGGACCACUGUACUAAGCAGUGGUUCUCAGCCUGUAUGAACAAACGGAUCACCUGGGGUACUAGAGGGUAGAUACCUGGCCUCACUCUCCCAGAAAUUCUGAUUCUAUGGAUCUAUGCUGUGUUUGAAAAACCCACCUGAGUAUUUGAAAACCCACUUCACAUAGCAGCAGACAGUAUAUGAACUACCCCUCAAGAAACCCUGUGACCUAGAGAGCAAUGAACUAAAACCUCCAGUUUUCCUUAUUCAAAUUAAAAAUGUAAUUUGAUAUGCUACAUUCACUUCAGAAUAUCUCAAAAAACAUACACAAAUAUUCACAAAAUAGAAUACCUUUUCUUGCCUUCAAAAGACAGUAAGUUGCAAACGAUUACAUUCUGAAAAUAGAGGAAAGUUCACAAUCCUGCUAUUUAAACUCUUUGUAAUGAGGUUUUUUUUUUAAAUAUAGAACUUUAAUAUGUGCUCCAAAUGCAUAAAAAGAUUAUUCAUUUAUCGUUCAGUUUUUUAAAAUAUUCACUGGUAAAUCCCUCCUUUAGGAAGCAUAAAUAAAUAUCUAAGUGUAAAAAAUAUGCUAAGCCAAGUACUAAAUACUGCCAACAAUUCAUAAUGGAAAUAAAAUCAGCUUCAAAAUCCAAGCUAAACCACAGAUUAAAC
Molecule: long non-coding RNA, 2128 nt
Organism: Papio anubis (olive baboon)
Lineage: Eukaryota; Metazoa; Chordata; Mammalia; Primates; Cercopithecidae
Source: Ensembl